GCUGGAAGAUGACGAGCGGCGGACGGGUGCGUAACACGUAGGAAUCUACCCGGUAGCGGGGGAUAGCCCGGAGAAAUCCGGAUUAAUACCGCAUACGCCCUACGGGGGAAAGCAGGGGCUCGCUCUUUCGAGAGUGACCUUGCACUAUUGGAUGAGCCUGCGUCGGAUUAGCUUGUUGGUGGGGUAAUGGCCUACCAAGGCAACGAUCCGUAGCUGAUCUGAGAGGAUGAUCAGCCACACUGGGACUGAGACACGGCCCAGACUCCUACGGGAGGCAGCAGUGGGGAAUAUUGCACAAUGGGCGAAAGCCUGAUGCAGCCAUGCCGCGUGUGUGAAGAAGGCUCUAGGGUUGUAAAGCACUUUCAGCGAGGAGGAAAGGUUAAAGAUUAAUACUCUUUAGCUGUGACGGUACUCGCAGAAGAAGCACCGGCUAACUCCGUGCCAGCAGCCGCGGUAAUACGGAGGGUGCGAGCGUUAAUCGGAAUUACUGGGCGUAAAGCGUGCGUAGGCGGCUGUCUAAGUUGGGUGUGAAAGCCCCGGGCUCAACCUGGGAACUGCAUCCAAAACUGGAUAGCUAGAGUGCGGAAGAGGAGUGUGGAAUUUCCUGUGUAGCGGUGAAAUGCGUAGAUAUAGGAAGGAACACCAGUGGCGAAGGCGACACUCUGGUCUGACACUG
This 676-nucleotide ribosomal RNA is filed under the name uncultured Gammaproteobacteria bacterium. RNAcentral's name for it is "bacterial SSU rRNA". It matches the Rfam family "Bacterial small subunit ribosomal RNA", at positions 79 to 742 of the family's 1533-position model. Lineage: Bacteria; Pseudomonadati; Pseudomonadota; Gammaproteobacteria. The record is from RNAcentral.